UCCAACCUCUGUUGGGGUUCGAGAGAUGA
RNAcentral lists this small RNA (29 nucleotides) under Bombyx mori (domestic silkworm). Its description in RNAcentral is "ovarian small RNA-26505". Lineage: Eukaryota; Metazoa; Arthropoda; Insecta; Lepidoptera; Bombycidae. The record is from RNAcentral.